This 1425-nucleotide unclassified non-coding RNA is filed under the name Hevea brasiliensis (rubber tree). The record is from RNAcentral. Lineage: Eukaryota; Viridiplantae; Streptophyta; Magnoliopsida; Malpighiales; Euphorbiaceae.
CAACUCUACUCGCAGCAAAUGUUAUGGUGAGAAUGAGAUUGCAGCUGUAGAAACCGCUACAUUACAUAGUUUUCUACAGAUAUUUGUGAUAACAAAUUUGGGACUGAACAAAUGGCAAUGAGGCACCCAUAGCAAAUGUUUCACCAUUGCCCCUCUCAUGUGUACUGGGUGGAAAUUGAUUUCUACAAAUAUUUCUAAAGAACUUGGCCCCUAAAAUUGUGGGAUAGUAACCAUAGGGGUUUAGAUCUAUUACUUUGGUUUUCUCUAUUGCCUUGGUCCCUAGAAAGGGAGAACAGUUAGUUCAUGGGAUUUGUAACCUGUUAAUUUUGUUGGUGUUAUUCUUUGUCUCAAGUUUUUUAUUACUUGAACCUCUUAGUUAAUUGAAGCUUUGAGUUUAUUUAAUCUGAAGGGAAGCGGAGGCUAUUUUUUGAGUUGAUUCUGAUUUGUUAUCAAGUUAAAGUAUCAACUCAAGCUUUUGUGUUGAUUCUGUUAAUGAAGAUGGACAUUUGGUAUUACUUUUUAAAGGUUUUUGUUUUUGAGGUUGAGAUUUGACUGUACAGUGAGUUUGAAAAUGCAUUCUAGUUUUCUUCAAGGUAAUAUUUGGAAGUUAAUUUGGAAAAGGGUGAGCUAUUUGCUGCAGCCAAUUUUGAUAUUGACAUGUGCAUAGCUAUAGGCCCAUUAUGAGUUAUUGUUUAUUAUCCAUCCACUUGAUAUAAUUAAAAUGAACCCGGACAAUAGUAUUUGAUCUAAUAUUCCUAUAUGUUUGAUGUAAUGUGCAUGUGCAGUAGUAAAUUAGGAAACAAAGUUGGCAUUUUAUGCUGUGGUUUAUCCUGAAUAAAGUUUAAUAUGGAUAACUUUACACUAUUGUCAAUACAAUAUGAGGGUUGAAACCUUGAAUUACUUUAAUCAAAUUAGUUUCUUCUUGUUAUUGGAAAUGCUUAAUUCAUAGAUGUUUUCUUGGCAAGAAGCAUUAUGAAUUGGUGAAUCUUUUGCCUCAAAUUGGUGAGUGAGUGAGGAACAUGUGGUGUUUGGCAUAUGAUAUACUUUAGAUGAUCGGGUUCUUUGCGGAGAAUUUACGGAUGGUGCCUAAUGCUUGGAGGGGUUAUUGUUAUAGACUUUUAUGUGUAGAAAUGUGGUAUGAAAUUUCUUUCACUAUUUUCUGGUGAACUUGGAGAUAUUGUAAUUUAACUGCUCAUGAAAAUGAGGAAAAACUUAUAGGAAAGCACAAAAAAAAUUUGAUUAUGGAUUCUUAUCUUUAGAUGACGCAGUUUUUCUUGUGAUUAAUCUUUAGUAAAUCUUGUUGAAAGCAUUUUUCUGGGGAAGUUCUUGAAGUGUAUACUUUUGCAUGAGUGGCUCCCUCUUUUGUGGGUUUUGUUUCUUUUUUUAAAAUUUUUGUUUUUUAAAUACAGUGUAUGUGUGUGUGAG